This 253-nucleotide ribosomal RNA is filed under the name uncultured bacterium. RNAcentral's name for it is "partial 16S ribosomal RNA". It matches the Rfam family "Bacterial small subunit ribosomal RNA", at positions 524 to 776 of the family's 1533-position model. The record is from RNAcentral.
UACGUAGGGGGCAAGCGUUGUCCGGAUUCAUUGGGCGUAAAGAGCGUGUAGGCGGCCAGGUAGGUCGGUUGUGAAAACUGGAGGCUCAACCUUCAGAGGUCGACCGAAACCAUCUGGCUAGAGUCCGGGAGAGGAGAGUGGAAUUCCUGGUGUAGCGGUGAAAUGCGCAGAUAUCUGGAGGAACACCGGUGGCGAAGGCGGCAUCCUGGACCAUAACUGGCGCUGAGGCGCGAAAGCGUGGGGAGCAAACAGG